Molecule: ribosomal RNA, 496 nt
Filed under: uncultured bacterium
Lineage: Bacteria
Description: partial 16S ribosomal RNA
Rfam family: Bacterial small subunit ribosomal RNA
Source: RNAcentral
ACGAACGCUGGCGGCGUGCCUAAUACAUGCAAGUUGAGCGCUGAAGGUUGGUACUUGUACCAACUGGAUGAGCAGCGAACGGGUGAGUAACGCGUGGGGAAUCUGCCUUUGAGCGGGGGACAACAUUUGGAAACGAAUGCUAAUACCGCAUAAAAACUUUAAACACAAGUUUUAAGUUUGAAAGAUGCAAUUGCAUCACUCAAAGAUGAUCCCGCGUUGUAUUAGCUAGUUGGUGAGGUAAAGGCUCACCAAGGCGAUGAUACAUAGCCGACCUGAGAGGGUGAUCGGCCACAUUGGGACUGAGACACGGCCCAAACUCCUACGGGAGGCAGCAGUAGGGAAUCUUCGGCAAUGGACGAAAGUCUGACCGAGCAACGCCGCGGGAGUGAAGAAGGUUGUCGGAUCGUAAAACUCUGUUGGUAGAGAAGAACGUUGGUGAGAGUGGAAAGCUCAUCAAGUGACGGUAACUACCCAGAAAGGGACGGCUAACUACGUG